UGUCCACUGUCCAGAAUCUCCACUCUUCCACCCCUUUGCUGAUUUAAGUAAGAGUGAUGACCUGCUCCCUGCAGGCACUGAGGAAUACAUCCAUGCAAGGAUUUAACAGAGAAAUGACAGGAAAACCCUUAGCACUGUCUAAGCGAUCACUAAGGAUUACAAUAAAAAGCAACUAGUGAAGGCAUUUAAGAGGAAAUUUCCCUGCAAUGGGACGGUAAUUGAGCAUCCAGAAUAUGGAGAAGUCAUUCAGCUACAGGGUGACCAGCGCAAGAACAUAUGCCAGUUCCUUGUAGAGGUGGGACUGGCUAAGGACGAUCUGCUGAUGGUUCAAGGGU
RNAcentral lists this long non-coding RNA (335 nucleotides) under Homo sapiens (human). RNAcentral's name for it is "non-protein coding lnc-PRSS22-3:1". Lineage: Eukaryota; Metazoa; Chordata; Mammalia; Primates; Hominidae. The record is from RNAcentral.